UACUAGAGUAGCACUCGCAUAUCAAUAAGCGGAGGAAAAGAAACUAACAAGGAUUCCCCUAGUAACGGCGAGUGAAGCGGGAAGAGCUCAAAUUUGAAAUCUUAAAGGGUUUCCCUUUACGAAUUGUAGUUUAAAGAAGUGUUUUCUGUUGAGGUUUUGGUAAAAGUUCUUUGGAAUAGGACAUCAUAGAGGGUGAGAAUCCCGUAUUUGACCUUUACUUUCAACUUUGUGAUACACUUUCAAAGAGUCGGAUUGUUUGGGAAUGCAGUCCAAAAUGGGUGGUAAAUUUCAUCUAAAGCUAAAUAUUGGCGAGAGACCGAUAGCGAACAAGUACCGUGAGGGAAAGAUGAAAAGAACUUUGAAAAGAGAGUUAAACAGUAUGUGAAAUUGUCAAAAGGGAAGCGUUUGACACCAGUGUUGUUUUUCUGAAAAUCAAUUAAAGAACUGUUUAUGCUAAGCUGUUUAGACUUUAUCAGCUAUCUGUUUAGUUUUGAGCUUUUCUUUAAUGCACUUUUCAGUUAACAAGUCAACAUCAAUUUCUUUUGCUGUAAAAAAGCUUGAGGAAGGUGGCUUGAGAUUCGUCUUAAGUGUUUAUAGCCUCUUGCCUAUGCAGUCGGAGAGAUUGAGGUCUGCAGCGUAGAUCCUUCGGGGCUAAAUGCGUUUGUGCUAAGUUAUAGCAUUUUAUAGACAACUUGUUGACUAUGAUUUGUCUUGUAGCUUACUCGCUUAUGUUAUUUUACCUACGCUUAGGAUGUUGAGCGCAUGUCUCUCUCU
This 774-nucleotide ribosomal RNA is filed under the name uncultured Neocallimastigales. RNAcentral's name for it is "partial large subunit ribosomal RNA". It matches the Rfam family "Eukaryotic large subunit ribosomal RNA", at positions 20 to 616 of the family's 3401-position model. Lineage: Eukaryota; Fungi; Neocallimastigomycota; Neocallimastigomycetes; Neocallimastigales. The record is from RNAcentral.